This 468-nucleotide ribosomal RNA is filed under the name uncultured bacterium. RNAcentral's name for it is "partial 16S ribosomal RNA". It matches the Rfam family "Bacterial small subunit ribosomal RNA", at positions 28 to 507 of the family's 1533-position model. The record is from RNAcentral.
GACGAACGCUGGCGGCGUGCUUAACACAUGCAAGUCGAACGGAAAGGCCCUGCUCUUGUGGGGUGCUCGAGUGGCGAACGGGUGAGUAACACGUGAGUAACCUGCCCCUGUCUUUGGGAUAACUUCAGGAAACUGGGGCUAAUACCGGAUAGGAGCUCCUGCUGCAUGGUGGGGGUUGGAAAGUUUCGGCGGUUGGGGAUGGACUCGCGGCUUAUCAGCUUGUUGGUGGGGUAGUGGCUUACCAAGGCUUUGACGGGUAGCCGGCCUGAGAGGGUGACCGGCCACAAGGGGACUGAGAUACGGCCCAGACUCCUACGGGAGGCAGCAGUGGAGAAUAUGGCACAGUGGGCGGAAGCCAGAUACAGCAACGCCGCGUGCGGGAUGACGGCCUUCGGGGUGUGAACCGCUUUCGCCUGAGACGAAGCGUGAGUGACGGUAAUGGGUAAAGAAGCACCGGCUAACUACGUG